GACGAACGCCUUCGGCGUGCUUAACACAUGCAAGUCGAACGGAAAGGCCCUGCUUUUGUGGGGUGCUCGAGUGGCGAACGGGUGAGUAACACGUGAGUAACCUGCCCUUGACUUUGGGAUAACUUCAGGAAACUGGGGCUAAUACCGGAUAGGAGCUCCUGCUGCAUGGUGGGGGUUGGAAAGUUUCGGCGGUUGGGGAUGGACUCGCGGCUUAUCAGCUUGUUGGUGGGGUAGUGGCUUACCAAGGCUUUGACGGGUAGCCGGCCUGAGAGGGUGACCGGCCACAUUGGGACUGAGAUACGGCCCAGACUCCUACGGGAGGCAGCAGUGGGGAAUAUUGCACAAUGGGCGGAAGCCUGAUGCAGCAACGCCGCGUGCGGGAUGACGGCCUUCGGGUUGUAAACCGCUUUCGCCUGUGACGAAGCGUGAGUGACGGUAAUGGGUAAAGAAGCACCGGCUAACUACGUGCCAGCAGCCGCGGUGAUACGUAGGGUGCGAGCGUUGUCCGGAUUUAUUGGGCGUAAAGGGCUCGUAGGUGGUUGAUCGCGUCGGAAGUGUAAUCUUGGGGCUUAACCCUGAGCGUGCUUUCGAUACGGGUUGACUGGAGGAAGUAGGGGGAGAAUGGAAUUUCCUGGUGGAGCGGUGGAAUGCCCAGAUAUCAGGGGGGAACACCAGUGGCGAAGGCGGUUCUCUGGGCCUUUUCCUGACGCUGAGGAGCGAAAGCGUGGGGAGCGAACAGGCUUAGAUACUCUGGUAGUCCACGCUGUAAACGGUGGGUACUAGGUGUGGGGUCCAUUCCACGGGUUCCGUGCCGUAGCUAACGCUUUAAGUACCCCGCCUGGGGAGUACGGCCGCAAGGCUAAAACUCAAAGGAAUUGACGGGGCCCCGCACAAGCGGCGGAGCAUGCGGAUUAAUUCGAUGCAACGCGUAGAACCUUACCUGGGUUUGACAUGGAUCGGGAGUGCUCAGAGAUGGGUGUGCCUCUUUUGGGGUCGGUUCACAGGUGGUGCAUGCCUGUCGUCAGCUCGUGUCGUGAGAUGUUGGGUUAAGUCCCGCAACGAGCGCAACCCUUGUUCACUGUUGCCAGCACGUUAUGGUGGGGACUCAGUGGAGACCGCCGGGGUCAACUCGGAGGAAGGUGGGGAUGACGUCAAGUCAUCAUGCCCCUUAUGUCCAGGGCUUCACGCAUGCUACAAUGGCUGGUACAGAGAGUGGCGAGCCUGUGAGGGUGAGCGAAUCUCGGAAAGCCGGUCUCAGUUCGGAUUGGGGUCUGCAACUCGACCUCAUGAAGUCGGAGUCGCUAGUAAUCGCAGAUCAGCAACGCUGCGGUGAAUACGUUCCCGGGGCU
This 1349-nucleotide ribosomal RNA is filed under the name uncultured bacterium. RNAcentral's name for it is "bacterial SSU rRNA". It matches the Rfam family "Bacterial small subunit ribosomal RNA", at positions 28 to 1381 of the family's 1533-position model. The record is from RNAcentral.